Molecule: ribosomal RNA, 468 nt
Filed under: uncultured bacterium
Lineage: Bacteria
Description: partial 16S ribosomal RNA
Rfam family: Bacterial small subunit ribosomal RNA
Source: RNAcentral
GACGAACGCUGGCGGCGUGCUUAACACAUGCAAGUCGAACGGAAAGGCCCUGCUUUUGUGGGGUGCUCGAGUGGCGAACGGGUGAGUAACACGUGAGUAACCUGCCCUUGACUUUGGGAUAACUUCGGGUAACUGGGGCUAAUACCGGAUAGGAGCUCCUGCUGCAUGGUGGGGGUUGGAAAGUUUCGGCGGUUGGGGAUGGACUCGCGGCUUAUCAGCUUGUUGGUGGGGUAGUGGCUUACCAAGGCUUUGACGGGUAGCCGGCCUGAGAGGGUGACCGGCCACAUUGGGACUGAGAUACGGCCCAGACUCCUACGGGAGGCAGCAGUGGGGAAUAUUGCACAAUGGGCGGAAGCCUGAUGCAGCAACGCCGCGUGCGGGAUGACGGCCUUCGGGUUGUAAACCGCUUUCGCCUGUGACGAAGCGUGAGUGACGGUAAUGGGUAAAGAAGCACCGGCUAACUACGUG